AAGUGGUAGGAAGCCGAAGGUGACGACCUUCGGGAGCUUGCACAGGUGCUGCAUGGCUGUCGUCAGCUCGUGUCGUGAGAUGUUCGGUUAAGUCCGCUAACGAGCGCAACCCUCGCUGUGUGUUAUAUGUGUCACGCGGGACUGCCGGUCUUAAGCCGGAGGAAGGUGGGGAUGAUGUCAAGUCAGCAUGGCCUUUAUAUCCUGGGCUACACACACGCUACAAUGGCCAACACAAUAGGUUGCUAAGCCGCGAGGUGGCGCCAAUCCAUAAAGUUGGUCUCAGUUCAGAUUGUAGGCUGCAACCCGCCUGCAUGAAGAUGGAGUUGCUAGUAACCGCAGGUCAGCUAUACUGCGGUGAAUACGUUCCCGGGCUU
RNAcentral lists this ribosomal RNA (374 nucleotides) under uncultured Leptolinea sp. RNAcentral describes it as "bacterial SSU rRNA". It matches the Rfam family "Bacterial small subunit ribosomal RNA", at positions 984 to 1381 of the family's 1533-position model. Lineage: Bacteria; Bacillati; Chloroflexota; Anaerolineae; Anaerolineales; Anaerolineaceae. The record is from RNAcentral.